This 84-nucleotide small nuclear RNA is filed under the name Echinops telfairi (small Madagascar hedgehog). The record is from RNAcentral. Lineage: Eukaryota; Metazoa; Chordata; Mammalia; Afrosoricida; Tenrecidae.
UAAUUAACUAACUAACAUUGGAACGAUACAGCAUGGCCCCUGAGCAAGGAUGACACGCACAUUUGUGAAGUGUUCCAGAUUAAA